This 1534-nucleotide ribosomal RNA is filed under the name Salmonella enterica subsp. enterica serovar Choleraesuis str. SCSA50. RNAcentral's name for it is "16S ribosomal RNA". It matches the Rfam family "Bacterial small subunit ribosomal RNA". Lineage: Bacteria; Pseudomonadati; Pseudomonadota; Gammaproteobacteria; Enterobacterales; Enterobacteriaceae. The record is from RNAcentral.
AGAGUUUGAUCAUGGCUCAGAUUGAACGCUGGCGGCAGGCCUAACACAUGCAAGUCGAACGGUAACAGGAAGCAGCUUGCUGCUUUGCUGACGAGUGGCGGACGGGUGAGUAAUGUCUGGGAAACUGCCUGAUGGAGGGGGAUAACUACUGGAAACGGUGGCUAAUACCGCAUAACGUCGCAAGACCAAAGAGGGGGACCUUCGGGCCUCUUGCCAUCAGAUGUGCCCAGAUGGGAUUAGCUUGUUGGUGAGGUAACGGCUCACCAAGGCGACGAUCCCUAGCUGGUCUGAGAGGAUGACCAGCCACACUGGAACUGAGACACGGUCCAGACUCCUACGGGAGGCAGCAGUGGGGAAUAUUGCACAAUGGGCGCAAGCCUGAUGCAGCCAUGCCGCGUGUAUGAAGAAGGCCUUCGGGUUGUAAAGUACUUUCAGCGGGGAGGAAGGUGUUGUGGUUAAUAACCGCAGCAAUUGACGUUACCCGCAGAAGAAGCACCGGCUAACUCCGUGCCAGCAGCCGCGGUAAUACGGAGGGUGCAAGCGUUAAUCGGAAUUACUGGGCGUAAAGCGCACGCAGGCGGUCUGUCAAGUCGGAUGUGAAAUCCCCGGGCUCAACCUGGGAACUGCAUUCGAAACUGGCAGGCUUGAGUCUUGUAGAGGGGGGUAGAAUUCCAGGUGUAGCGGUGAAAUGCGUAGAGAUCUGGAGGAAUACCGGUGGCGAAGGCGGCCCCCUGGACAAAGACUGACGCUCAGGUGCGAAAGCGUGGGGAGCAAACAGGAUUAGAUACCCUGGUAGUCCACGCCGUAAACGAUGUCUACUUGGAGGUUGUGCCCUUGAGGCGUGGCUUCCGGAGCUAACGCGUUAAGUAGACCGCCUGGGGAGUACGGCCGCAAGGUUAAAACUCAAAUGAAUUGACGGGGGCCCGCACAAGCGGUGGAGCAUGUGGUUUAAUUCGAUGCAACGCGAAGAACCUUACCUGGUCUUGACAUCCACAGAACUUUCCAGAGAUGGACUGGUGCCUUCGGGAACCGUGAGACAGGUGCUGCAUGGCUGUCGUCAGCUCGUGUUGUGAAAUGUUGGGUUAAGUCCCGCAACGAGCGCAACCCUUAUCCUUUGUUGCCAGCGAUUAGGUCGGGAACUCAAAGGAGACUGCCAGUGAUAAACUGGAGGAAGGUGGGGAUGACGUCAANNNNNNNNNNNNNNNNNNNNNNNNNNNNNNNNACCACGUGCUACAAUGGCGCAUACAAAGAGAAGCGACCUCGCGAGAGCAAGCGGACCUCAUAAAGUGCGUCGUAGUCCGGAUUGGAGUCUGCAACUCGACUCCAUGAAGUCGGAAUCGCUAGUAAUCGUGGAUCAGAAUGCCACGGUGAAUACGUUCCCGGGCCUUGUACACACCGCCCGUCACACCAUGGGAGUGGGUUGCAAAAGAAGUAGGUAGCUUAACCUUCGGGAGAGCGCUUACCACUUUGUGAUUCAUGACUGGGGUGAAGUCGUAACAAGGUAACCGUAGGGGAACCUGCGGUUGGAUCACCU